This 435-nucleotide ribosomal RNA is filed under the name uncultured bacterium. RNAcentral's name for it is "partial 16S ribosomal RNA". It matches the Rfam family "Bacterial small subunit ribosomal RNA", at positions 28 to 507 of the family's 1533-position model. The record is from RNAcentral.
GAUGAACGCUGGCGGUAUGCUUAACACAUGCAAGUCGAACGGACUCUUCGGAGUUAGUGGCGGACGGGUGAGUAACGCGUGAGAAUCUGGCUUUGGGUUCGGGACAACCACUGGAAACGGUGGCUAAUACCGGAUGUGCCGAGAGGUAAAAGAGAAAUUGCCUGAAGAUGAGCUCGCGUCUGGUUAGCUAGUUGGUGAGGUACAGGCUCACCAAGGCAGCGAUCAGUAGCUGGUCUGAGAGGAUGAGCAGCCACACUGGGACUGAGACACGGCCCAGACUCCGACGGGAGGCAGCGGGGGGGAAUUUUCCGCAAGGGGCGAAAGCCUGACGGAGCAAUACCGCGUGAGGGAAGAAGGCUCUUGGGUUGUAACCCUCUUUUCUUAGGGAAGAACAAAAUGACGGUACCUAAGGAAUCAGCAUCGGCUAACUCCGUG